AAUCUUGCGCAAUGGAGGGAACUCUGACGCAGCGACGUCGCGUGAGCGAAGAAGGUCNNNGGAUCNUCAAGCUCUGUCUUUGGNGAANAAGGAAGUGACGGUACCCAAGGAGGAAGCCCCGGCUAACUACGUGCCAGCAGCCGCGGUAACACGUAGGGGGCAAGCGUUGUCCGGAAUUACUGGGCGUAAAGGGUGCGUAGGCGGUAUAUUAAGUCAGGUGUGAAACCCCACGGCUCAACUGUGGGCUUGCACAUGAAACUGGUAUGCUUGAGUACAGGAGAGGAAAGCGGAAUUCCUAGUGUAGUGGUGAAAUGCGUAGAUAUUAGGAAGAACACCAGUGGCGAAGGCGGCUUUCUGGACUGUAACUGACGCUGAGGCACGAAAGCGUGGGGAGCAAACA
RNAcentral lists this ribosomal RNA (400 nucleotides) under uncultured bacterium. RNAcentral's name for it is "partial 16S ribosomal RNA". It matches the Rfam family "Bacterial small subunit ribosomal RNA", at positions 360 to 774 of the family's 1533-position model. The record is from RNAcentral.